CGCGUAGGAAUCUACCCAGUAGCGGGGGAUAAGCCAGAGAAAUUUGGUCUAAUACCGCAUACGCCCUUCGGGGAAAAGCAGGGGAUCUUCGGACCUUGCACUAUUGGAUGAGCCUGCGUGAGAUUAGCUAGUUGGUGAGGUAAUGGCUCACCAAGGCGACGAUCUCUAGCUGGUCUGAGAGGAUGAUCAGCCACACUGGAACUGAGACACGGUCCAGACUCCUACGGGAGGCAGCAGUGGGGAAUAUUGCACAAUGGGCGCAAGCCUGAUGCAGCCAUGCCGCGUGUGUGAAGAAGGCCC
Molecule: ribosomal RNA, 300 nt
Filed under: uncultured Oceanospirillaceae bacterium
Lineage: Bacteria; Pseudomonadati; Pseudomonadota; Gammaproteobacteria; Oceanospirillales; Oceanospirillaceae
Description: bacterial SSU rRNA
Rfam family: Bacterial small subunit ribosomal RNA
Source: RNAcentral